RNAcentral lists this ribosomal RNA (450 nucleotides) under uncultured bacterium. RNAcentral's name for it is "partial 16S ribosomal RNA". It matches the Rfam family "Bacterial small subunit ribosomal RNA", at positions 354 to 796 of the family's 1533-position model. The record is from RNAcentral.
GUGGGGAAUAUUGGACAAUGGGCGAAAGCCUGAUCCAGCCAUGCCGCGUGUGUGAAGAAGGUCUUCGGAUUGUAAAGCACUUUAAGUUGGGAGGAAGGGCAGUAAGUUAAUACCUUGCUGUUUUGACGUUACCGACAGAAUAAGCACCGGCUAACUUCGUGCCAGCAGCCGCGGUAAUACGAAGGGUGCAAGCGUUAAUCGGAAUUACUGGGCGUAAAGCGCGCGUAAGUGGUUUUGUAAGUUGGAGGUGAAAUCCCCGGGCUCAACCUGGGAACUGGCUCCAAAACUGCAUGACUAGAGUACGGUAGAGGGUAGUGGAAUUUCCUGUGUAGCGGUGAAAUGCGUAGAUAUAGGAAGGAACACCAGUGGCGAAGGCGACUACCUGGACUGAUACUGACACUGAGGUGCGAAAGCGUGGGGAGCAAACAGGAUUAGAAACCCUAGUAGUCC